RNAcentral lists this long non-coding RNA (1040 nucleotides) under Sinocyclocheilus anshuiensis. Its description in RNAcentral is "lncRNA (ENSSANG00000046880.1)". Lineage: Eukaryota; Metazoa; Chordata; Actinopteri; Cypriniformes; Cyprinidae. The record is from RNAcentral.
CUCGUUUCAUCAGGACCAUCGUGAUUGCAUUCAUUGGUGUUUCCAGAACCCGGGAAGAAUUAAAUGUACAGGCGGAAGUUGAGUUGGUGUUCAGUGGAGCGUCCACUGAACCGAUCCCCAGCAACACUGACAUUGUGCAGACUCUAAAAGAAGCAGCUGCUAAUUCAACUGCAGGCUUCAACCUCACACUUGAUGCCACCACUAUUACUGUCAUUAGUAAGCUAAUUUAUAUAUGCCAGAUUUCUGAGAUCUUACUAUGUUAUCUUGACUAGAAAAGUUCUGUGCAAUCUCUGCUCUGUUAUCUUUAAAAUCAAUUCCUUUUUUGUAGAAUCAGUGCAGAUAAUUCCGCUGACAAUCCUCACCAAUGGAACCUUUGUGGCUGCUCUUUCAAAUAAAAGUUCUACUGAAUUUCAGAACAGGGCUUCGAUGAUAAAAGCAGGGGUGAGUGUGACGUGUCUACUUAUGAAUUUUGGGUAAUAUGCUUUUACAAAAGAAAGCCAAUUUUGUUGAACAACUCUUGUUUUGCAGCUCGAACCUUUUUUCCUCGCUGAUUACCCUAAAUCAUUCAGCACCAUAUCCAUAACAGACUUCAGGUAUGAAUAUGCUGGUGCAUUCUUGAAAAUAGCUACUGAUUCAAAAUAACACUCAGUUUUCAUUGAUGAAUCUUGAUUCCAAACUCUCUCCAGUGAUGCCAGUGUAAAAUUAAGGAGCGUGCCCACAAUCCGAAACUCCAUGGAUCUUGUAUUUGGAGCGGAUGCCGUUCUACCUAAUAGCACCCAGAUAGUGAACACUGUAGUUCGAGCAACUAGAAACAACACGUUACCCUUCCAGAUCUUCACUUCUUCAAUCAUAAUAAAUGGAACCGAACAUUCGUCAGGUGAAGUCAGCAGCAGGAUCAGUGUGUUGACCGCUUCAGUUCUGGUUGCUGUGUCGCUUCUGGUUCCACGGUUUAACUGACCGUAACCACUCAUGCCAAUAUAACUGAUUCAGACAGGUCUGAGUCUUCCUUGCCUUCCACGCCUGCUCACAUGAAGGACUCG